GAUCGGUCGACUAUAUCCUAUAGCUGCUAUAUAACUGAUUGAUCGGAAAUUUCUUAAGUUAAGUGUUUUUCGACCUAGAGGGUUGGGACUUUCCACACAUGUUAAAUGUGUCCAAGAUAUCUUAUCUGCAAAAUUUCAUAGCUUUCCUUUCUUGUUUAUCUUCAUUUUAAAAUUUAUGGUCAUAAAAAGUUAUAUUGACAUACUAACAUCAAAGAAUUGCACAUUAUUUAAUGAACCAUAUUAUUUCCAUCAUAAAUUUGUGUUUUUACAUACAUAUGUAUGUAUGUACAUCAGCAACCAAAUUUCGCGUAGUUAGUGUGCGUCGAGUGUAUGUUAAAAUAACGUAAGUCGAAACGGUCACAUUGGGUUCAUAAUAGUGCGUCGUAUUUGUUUAUUAUUGUGAAAUGUUCUGUCAGUAGUAGGAUUUGGAACGUCUUGAAUUAAAUCAGAAACAUUCGUUUCCCUGUGGCCAGAGCAAGAGGCCGAAAUUGAUCGAAUUUAUUGCAGCUUUUAUUAAAUUGUUUUUUCUUAUCUUUUCAGUUUUAGUUGCCUUUAUUUUUUUAGUUUUAUUUUAGAAUAAAAAUUUUAUAUGUAGUUUUCAGAUUGACUAAUAAAAAGAAAAACAAUAUCAAAAAAUUCUUUUCUUUCAUAACAAUUUCCCUGUCGCCUAUCGGUUGCUUUUUCUCGGGCAAAGCUGCUUACGGGUUGCAUCCUAGGCGCUCGCGAUUUGAUGAACAUUUAGCACGUUCCCGGCCGCGCCAAUGUAAUUUGGAAUAAUUCUUUUCCUAUGUUCGGAGGCAGGGGCAUCCGCUAAUUCAGUACGCUGUCGAAAAAUUAAAUUAAAAUAAAAAUUCAUUAGAUUGAUUUUAUCCAAA
Long non-coding RNA from Drosophila ananassae, 875 nucleotides. RefSeq lists it as uncharacterized. Lineage: Eukaryota; Metazoa; Arthropoda; Insecta; Diptera; Drosophilidae. The record is from RefSeq and is a predicted model, not a curated record. The transcript has 3 exons.